This 478-nucleotide long non-coding RNA is filed under the name Rattus norvegicus (Norway rat). RNAcentral's name for it is "long non-coding RNA NONRATT010609". Lineage: Eukaryota; Metazoa; Chordata; Mammalia; Rodentia; Muridae. The record is from RNAcentral.
UGCAGGAGCAGAGGAGGCUUCCCUCAGUCACAGGAUUGUCUUUCUAGCAUCCUAGGUUGCAAGCGCUUUCGACUCUGGUGAGGGGGAGCACUCAGUGAGACCCAGGAGACCUUGAUUUCAAAUGGAUUGGCUUUGCUUUCUGUUCACAUUAGCAAAGGUGCCACUGAUGAGCCCUGAGGACAUUAAAACCCAGAACACAUAAACCAGGAUGAGAAAUUAAUCAGAAGAUGAAAGAUGGCGGCUUCAGGGACACUGGCUGAGCCUUCUGCAUGCUCCUGGGACCUCAUUUCAGACCAGCAGUACCAUCCCGUGCUGUGAUGAUGACUUAUAUGUAGACAUCACCUCUGCUGGUGGACAGCCUUCUGAUCUGCUGAGUCCCUUCACAGCAAAUCAAAGAAAACAUGACAAAACGCCAUAAACCCAUGCCUUCCCCUGUGUGUCACAGCCUGGUGGCUGGAACAGUUUGUUCAAAAAGAUC